GCCUGGGUGGCUCAGCUGGUUAGAGCAUGGUGCUGAUAACGUCAAGGUUGCAGGUUUGAUCCCCAUCCGGAACA
This is a non-coding RNA of Podarcis lilfordi (Lilford's wall lizard), 74 nucleotides long. Lineage: Eukaryota; Metazoa; Chordata; Lepidosauria; Squamata; Lacertidae. The record is from the annotation of a GenBank genome assembly.